CUACUUAGAUGUGUCUAACUCGUCAGCAGAUGUAACUUCUACAUCACAAAGAAUACGCUGUUACAAGGACGAAACUGAAGAACCAGAUGUGCCCCCAGCUUUCAUAGACAUUUCUUGUAGGCACACAGCGAGAUACAUCAUUGUGGGGACUUCUUAUGACGCUCCAGAAGAUAAUCCAAUAAAAGGGUCUAUAUUAGAAAUAUGUGAAAUAGAAGUCUAUGGUUGCGGCAUAGGAAAAUUUGGAGAGCUUUGCAAAAAUUGUCAAUGUUCUACUUGCAGUAUCAUUAAUGGUUCAUGUCCUGUUGCAUGUAGUGAUAAUUGUCGAGAUACAACAUGUAAUCAAUUCUCUGGAUAUUGCACUUAUGGAUGCAAAGAACUUUAUUAUGGACCCAAA
This is a long non-coding RNA of Saccostrea cuccullata (small rock oyster), 394 nucleotides long. RefSeq lists it as uncharacterized. The transcript has 3 exons. The record is from RefSeq and is a predicted model, not a curated record. NCBI's taxonomy places the organism in Eukaryota, Metazoa, Mollusca, Bivalvia, Ostreida, Ostreidae.